Molecule: ribosomal RNA, 301 nt
Filed under: uncultured bacterium
Lineage: Bacteria
Description: partial 16S ribosomal RNA
Rfam family: Bacterial small subunit ribosomal RNA
Source: RNAcentral
CAGUCGCCACGGUAAUACAGAGGGUGCAAGCGUUAAUCGGAAUUACUGGGCGUAAAGCGCGCGUAGGUGGUUCGCCAAGUUGGAUGUGAAAUCCCCGGGCUCAACCUGGGAACUGCAUCCAAAACUGGCGAGCUAGAGUAUGGUAGAGGGUGGUGGAAUUUCCUGUGUAGCGGUGAAAUGCGUAGAUAUAGGAAGGAACAUCAGUGGCGAAGGCGACCACCUGGACUGAUACUGACACUGAGGUGCGAAAGCGUGGGGAGCAAACAGGAUUAGAUACCCGCGUAGUCCCUGUCUCUUAUAC